This 387-nucleotide ribosomal RNA is filed under the name uncultured bacterium. RNAcentral describes it as "bacterial SSU rRNA". It matches the Rfam family "Bacterial small subunit ribosomal RNA", at positions 30 to 419 of the family's 1533-position model. The record is from RNAcentral.
AUUGAACGCUGGCGGCAUGCCUUACACAUGCAAGUCGAACGGUAACGGGCCUUCGGGCGCCGACGAGUGGCGAACGGGUGAGUAAUGCAUCGGAACGUACCUUUCAGUGGGGGAUAACGUAGCGAAAGUUACGCUAAUACCGCAUAUUCUGUGAGCAGGAAAGCAGGGGAUCGCAAGACCUUGCGCUGAUUGAGCGGCCGAUGUCAGAUUAGCUAGUUGGUGAGGUAAAGGCUCACCAAGGCGACGAUCUGUAGCGGGUCUGAGAGGAUGAUCCGCCACACUGGAACUGAGACACGGUCCAGACUCCUACGGGAGGCAGCAGUGGGGAAUUUUGGACAAUGGGGGCAACCCUGAUCCAGCCAUGCCGCGUGAGUGAAGAAGGCCUUC